RNAcentral lists this ribosomal RNA (346 nucleotides) under uncultured bacterium. RNAcentral's name for it is "partial 16S ribosomal RNA". It matches the Rfam family "Bacterial small subunit ribosomal RNA", at positions 338 to 701 of the family's 1533-position model. The record is from RNAcentral.
CCUACGGGAGGCAGCAGUGGGGAAUAGUGGACAAUGGGGGGAACCCUGAUCCAGCGACGCCGCGUGAGUGAAGAAGUAUUUCGGUAUGUAAAGCUCGAUCAGCAGGGAAGAAAAUGACGGUACCUGACUAAGAAGCCCCGGCUAACUACGUGCCAGCAGCCGCGGUAAGACGUCGGGGGCAAGCGUUCUCCGGAUUUACUGGGUGUAAAGGGAGCGUAGACGGUGCAGCAAGUCUGAGGUGAAAGGUCGGGGCCCAACCCCGGGACUGCAUUGGAAACUGUUGAACUGGAGUACAGGAGAGGUUAGCGGUAUUCCUAGUGUAGCGGUGCACUGCGUAGCUAUUAGG